Long non-coding RNA from Aethina tumida (small hive beetle), 626 nucleotides. RefSeq lists it as uncharacterized. The record is from RefSeq and is a predicted model, not a curated record. Lineage: Eukaryota; Metazoa; Arthropoda; Insecta; Coleoptera; Nitidulidae. The transcript is spliced from 2 exons.
GUCAUUCGUUAUUUAUAGACACUUGCAAUUGUAGCUGAUGUUUUGAAUUGAUCUAUUAUGAAAAUCAUAGUUAAAAUUACACUAAUCGGUUGGAACUAAUGUGUGUUAUUUUAAAAUUAUAUGAAACCGGCGAACACACCCAGUGGUCGCAUUCUUCAUACAUUACAGAGAAUCAUUACCAUGUAUGAUAUCAACAAAUCCUAAGCUGCGACAAGGUAUUCGAAUUCCACGUAGUGCACUCGUAGUCUAGAAGUAAAAUGUUUGUCCACGAGUGUUUAAUUCUUCGAACUUUCCUGGACAAAACUAAGAAUUGUAGCUUAUGAAUCACUUAAGGGAUCCAUUCUUCAAUUUCUACGUAAGUCACCAAGUGUGAAUCCUCCAAAGAGUAGACAAAAUGGAGCGAAGCCCAGAAAAUACACAGCACGAGGUGGAACUUUCUGUUCAACUGCCAAAAUCUUUUGCGUUACAACUUUACAACCAACGCCGUUGGAUGAGGACAGGUUGAGCAGGACGGUUUGAUGUCAUUAAUGGACAUUUUUGCACUAAAUUCUUAAUGCCUCAAUUCUGACAAAUUUUUGAAUAUUUAGGCUUUCGUUCAAUAAAACCGGCAAUCCCUAGUUUUUGAA